UACAGAGGCGGCAAGCGUUGUUCGGAAUUAUUGGGCGUAAAGAGCACGUAGGCGGCCUUGUAAGUCAGUUGUGAAAGCCUUCUGCUUAACGGAAGAACAGCAUCUGAUACUGCAAGGCUAGAGUGCGGAAGGGGAGAGUGGAACUUCUGGUGGAGCGGUGAAAUGCGUAGAUAUCAGAAGGAACACCGGCGGCGAAGGCGACUCUCUGGUCCGUAACUGACGCUGAGUGUGCGAAAGCUAGGGGAGCAAACGGG
This 254-nucleotide ribosomal RNA is filed under the name uncultured bacterium. RNAcentral's name for it is "partial 16S ribosomal RNA". It matches the Rfam family "Bacterial small subunit ribosomal RNA", at positions 524 to 776 of the family's 1533-position model. The record is from RNAcentral.